Molecule: long non-coding RNA, 165 nt
Filed under: Amphimedon queenslandica
Lineage: Eukaryota; Metazoa; Porifera; Demospongiae; Haplosclerida; Niphatidae
Description: uncharacterized LOC109584443
Source: RNAcentral
CCUUGAGCAAGCAGAAAAGGAUAAAUCAAGUCUUGAAUUAGAAUAUAAUGAGAAGCUUAAAGUUAACGAUGCUGAAAUAUUGGAAAUAAAGACACAAGAAGAGGAGAAGAAACAGAUUGUUACUGAAGAUUAUGAGAAACUGAAACUCAAAGUAGCUGAUAUGGA